UGUUUGUUGCAGUAAAUAUAAUCCCAGCUUUCUCUCGCUCAAGAAAAGAGAAAACAAGAAACGCAACAUCAAAGAGUUAAGACCGCGGCGGCUUCACAGGAAGCUACGUAUCGUCAGACAGACAGCGCCCAAAUUUGCAGAUCUCUCGGCGGCUCCGCAACGAGCAACCGGCGCUAGCUGCUCCCCUUCCCUCCCGCGUGCCGACGGAAGCUGUAGGCACCAUGUCGAUGUUCCCAGGGAUGGAUCUUACUAAAAUGGAUGCUCCAACUCUUACCCUCCUUGGAGCAGCUUGUUGUGUAAUGUUAUCUAUGCAUUUCACAGUGCAGCUGGUAUCACAACAUCUUUUCUACUGGAAAAAUGCCAAAGAGCAGAAGGCCAUACUCAUUAUUGUGCUAAUGCCUCCACUGUAUGCCAUAACUUCCUUUGUUGGUCUUCUGGAUAUUAAGGGAAGCAAAGCGUUUUUUACAUGCUUGGAGUCUGUUAAAGAAUGCUAUGAGGCACUGGUUAUUGCUAAGUUUCUGGCAUUGAUGUACAGCUACUUAAAUAUAUCUAUUAGCAAAAAUAUUGUACCUGAUGAAAUCAAAGGGAGGGUGCUUCAUCAUUCUUUCCCUGUUUCUCUUUUCCUGCCCCGCAAUGUUCGGCUGGAGCACAAGACAUUAAAGCUUCUGAAGUACUGGACCUGGCAAUUUGUUGUUGUUAGGCCUGUAUGCUCCAUUCUGAUUAUUGCACUUCAGCUUCUUGGGCUGUACCCCAGCUGGGUCAGCUGGACGUUCACAAUUAUACUGAACUUUUCAGUCUCCAUGGCAUUAUAUGCCUUGGUCAUAUUCUAUCACUUGUUUGCUAAGGAGUUGGCACCUCACAAGCCUCUUGCGAAGUUCUUGUGCAUCAAAGGGAUUGUCUUCUUCUCUUUCUGGCAGGGCUGUGCACUGGAUAUUUUGGCUGCUGUAGGGGUGAUUCAGUCUCACCAUUUCUGGCUGGACGUGGAGCACAUCCAGGAGGCAAUCCAGAAUAUCUUGAUUAUCCUGGAAAUGGUCAUCUUCUCAGUCCUCCAGCAAUAUGCGUACCACGUCGCUCCGUACAGCGGCGCUGACAAGGCGAAAUCCGUGAAGAAGAACGAAUGAUCCAGGGCUUCGUGCCAAGCAACGUCUUCCGCUGGCUCUUGUAUGAUUUUGUGUGUAUGUGCUGGGAGUAUUGAUUCAAAGAUGUUAUAGGACGUGUAUUUCCUUGUGGACACGUGUAGAGUCGUCGUUAUACCUUGAACAUUAGAAAAACGAGAUGAUCAGGAACAAGAUAUAGGAAUGCUACUGUUGUUACCGUGCUGUGAGACUAUGUAAUGCCCGAAUAAGGAGAAUUUUGGGGGUUUCCUGCCCCGAAUUGCGCCCAGAAUAAAUGGUGGUUUACUGUCGCCAAGAUCAUCGCGUGUCACUGCAUGAUUGUUCCAAAACUUGUCUGAAAUUAUCACAGUGCUAUGAGUCCAGGUAUGGUUUGGAUGGCAUUGUUGUCGCAUCUCUCUGCAUACAUAGGUGGUACCUGAAAGGGGAGGGCACCGCACACAGUGGC
RNAcentral lists this ribosomal RNA (1560 nucleotides) under Triticum aestivum (bread wheat). Its description in RNAcentral is "partial small subunit ribosomal RNA". Lineage: Eukaryota; Viridiplantae; Streptophyta; Magnoliopsida; Poales; Poaceae. The record is from RNAcentral.